This 416-nucleotide long non-coding RNA is filed under the name Physcomitrium patens. Its description in RNAcentral is "long non-coding RNA (PPAT_LNC000909)". Lineage: Eukaryota; Viridiplantae; Streptophyta; Bryopsida; Funariales; Funariaceae. The record is from RNAcentral.
UAGUGUGUUAUUCGUUGAUGAACUAGUCGUUACCCCCUUUGUCUCUUCUGCGCGAAGAAAUAGUGUGUGGUAGAGUGGUAACGAGUUCAGCCUUGAACGCACGAAGGAAGACCUCAUCGUAGCUUGCGUCUUUGAGAAGUCCACAAGCGCACAUCAUCUAUACAUGACUGACUGGGCAGCAUCCAUCAACAAUCAAUGUGAUUCAGUAGUAUUAGAGUUGUUAUCACGGACACUAAUCCUGAGCAGUUGACCAUUUUUCCAUCACGCAUGCUCCCAUCUGACGCGCUCUCACAGCGCUAAUCCUCCAACAUGAUCUCAUUUACCACAAGUUACUACUUUUUCACCAAAUAUAUCCGCUGGGUUGGGUGAAGGACGGCUGGGUACUAUUGGGAGUGAGCAUGCGUGUGGAAAAACCU